Molecule: ribosomal RNA, 448 nt
Filed under: uncultured bacterium
Lineage: Bacteria
Description: partial 16S ribosomal RNA
Rfam family: Bacterial small subunit ribosomal RNA
Source: RNAcentral
AGCGAACGCUGGCGGCAGGCCUAACACAUGCAAGUCGAACGGAUCCUUCGGGAUUAGUGGCGGACGGGUGAGUAACACGUGGGAACGUGCCUUUUGGUUCGGAACAACUCAGGGAAACUUGAGCUAAUACCGGAUGUGCCCUUCGGGGAAAGAUUUAUCGCCAUUAGAGCGGCCCGCGUCUGAUUAGCUAGUUGGUGAGGUAAAGGCUCACCAAGGCGACGAUCAGUAGCUGGUCUGAGAGGAUGAUCAGCCACACUGGGACUGAGACACGGCCCAGACUCCUACGGGAGGCAGCAGUGGGGAAUCUUGCGCAAUGGGCGAAAGCCUGACGCAGCCAUGCCGCGUGAAUGAUGAAGGUCUUAGGAUUGUAAAAUUCUUUCACCGGGGACGAUAAUGACGGUACCCGGAGAAGAGGCUCCGGCUAACUUCGUGCCAGCAGCCGCCGUAA